This 27-nucleotide unclassified non-coding RNA is filed under the name Mus musculus (house mouse). Its description in RNAcentral is "oocyte_clustered_small_RNA8336". The record is from RNAcentral. Lineage: Eukaryota; Metazoa; Chordata; Mammalia; Rodentia; Muridae.
CUGCAGGGUUGUACAGCUGCUUGCUGU